AGAGUUUGAUUCUGGCUCAGGACGAACGCUGGCGGCGGGCUUAACACAUGCAAGUCGUGGGAGAAUCUAAGUGCUUGCACUUAGAGGAGACCGGCGGAUGGGUGAGUAACGCGUAGGCAAUUUGCCUGUAGCAAGAGGAUAACAUCGCGAAAGCGGUGCUAAUACUGUAUAAUGCAGCGGGGCCGCAUGGCCACAGUUGUUAAACUCUUCGGAGGGCUACAGAGAAGCCUGCGUACCAUUAGCUUGUUGGUAAGGUAACGGCUUACCAAGGCAGUAAUGGUUAGGGGGUCUGAGAGGAUGAUCCCCCACACUGGGACUGAGACACGGCCCAGACUCCUACGGGAGGCAGCAGUGAGGAAUCUUGCGCAAUGGGGGCAACCCUGACGCAGCCACGCCGCGUGCCGGAAGACGGCCCUAUGGGUUGUAAACGGCUUUUGUUGGGGAAGAACCUGGGUCUUUCGAGACCCACUGACGGUACCCAUCGAAUCAGCACCGGCUAACUCCGUGCCAGCAGCCGCGGUAAUA
Molecule: ribosomal RNA, 525 nt
Filed under: uncultured bacterium
Lineage: Bacteria
Description: bacterial SSU rRNA
Rfam family: Bacterial small subunit ribosomal RNA
Source: RNAcentral